UGCGGGGUGGAGCAGUCUGGUAGCUCGUCGGGCUCAUAACCCGAAGGUCAUAGGUUCAAAUCCUGUCCCCGCAACCA
This 77-nucleotide transfer RNA is filed under the name Candidatus Peregrinibacteria bacterium CG_4_10_14_0_2_um_filter_43_11. RNAcentral's name for it is "tRNA-Met". It matches the Rfam family "tRNA". Rfam says of the family: Transfer RNA (tRNA) molecules are approximately 80 nucleotides in length. Their secondary structure includes four short double-helical elements and three loops (D, anti-codon, and T loops). Lineage: Bacteria; Candidatus Peregrinibacteriota. The record is from RNAcentral.